CAGGUGCUGCAUGGCUGUCGUCAGCUCGUGUCGUGAGAUGUUCGGUUAAGUCCGCUAACGAGCGCAACCCUCACUGUGUGUUAUAUGUGUCACACGGGACUGCCGGUUUUAAGCCGGAGGAAGGCGGGGGAUGACGUCAAGUCAGCAUGGCCUUUAUAUCCUGGGCUACACACACGCUACAAUGGCCGGUACAAUGGGUUGCAAAGCCGCGAGGUAGAGCCAAUCCCGAAAGCCGGUCUAAGUUCAGAUUGUAGGCUGCAACUCGCCUACAUGAAGCCGGAGUUGCUAGUAACCGCGCGUUCCAGCAUUAGUGCGGUGAAUACGUUCCCGGGGGAUU
RNAcentral lists this ribosomal RNA (337 nucleotides) under uncultured Anaerolineaceae bacterium. RNAcentral describes it as "bacterial SSU rRNA". It matches the Rfam family "Bacterial small subunit ribosomal RNA", at positions 1035 to 1378 of the family's 1533-position model. The record is from RNAcentral. Lineage: Bacteria; Bacillati; Chloroflexota; Anaerolineae; Anaerolineales; Anaerolineaceae.